This 411-nucleotide ribosomal RNA is filed under the name soil bacterium 08G-16. Its description in RNAcentral is "bacterial SSU rRNA". It matches the Rfam family "Bacterial small subunit ribosomal RNA", at positions 24 to 483 of the family's 1533-position model. The record is from RNAcentral.
UCAGAACGAACGCUGGCGGCAGGCUUAACACAUGCAAGUCGAGCGCCCCGCAAGGGGAGCGGCAGACGGGUGAGUAACGCGUGGGAACGUACCCUUUACUACGGAAUAACGCAGGGAAACUUGUGCUAAUACCGUAUGUGCCCUUCGGGGGAAAGAUUUAUCGGUAAGGGAUCGGCCCGCGUUGGAUUAGCUAGUUGGUGGGGUAAAGGCCUACCAAGGCGACGAUCCAUAGCUGGUCUGAGAGGAUGAUCAGCCACAUUGGGACUGAGACACGGCCCAAACUCCUACGGGAGGCAGCAGUGGGGAAUAUUGGACAAUGGGCGCAAGCCUGAUCCAGCCAUGCCGCGUGAGUGAUGAAGGCCCUAGGGUUGUAAAGCUCUUUCACCGGAGAAGAUAAUGACGGUAUCCGGA